RNAcentral lists this ribosomal RNA (459 nucleotides) under uncultured bacterium. RNAcentral's name for it is "partial 16S ribosomal RNA". It matches the Rfam family "Bacterial small subunit ribosomal RNA", at positions 338 to 795 of the family's 1533-position model. The record is from RNAcentral.
CCUACGGGGUGCAGCAGUGAGGAAUAUUGGUCAAUGGACGAGAGUCUGAACCAGCCAAGUAGCGUGAAGGAUGACUGCCCUAUGGGUUGUAAACUUCUUUUAUAUGGGAAUAAAAUGUUCCACGUGUGGGAUUUUGUAUGUACCAUAUGAAUAAGGAUCGGCUAACUCCGUGCCAGCAGCCGCGGUAAUACGGAGGAUCCGAGCGUUAUCCGGAUUUAUUGGGUUUAAAGGGAGCGUGGUGGAUUGUUAAGUCAGUUGUGAAAGUUUGCGGCUCAACCGUAAAAUUGCAGUUGAAACUGGCAGUCUUGAGUACAGUAGAGGUGGGCGGAAUUCGUGGUGUAGCGGUGAAAUGCUUAGAUAUCACGAAGAACUCCGAUUGCGAAGGCAGUUCACUGGACUGCAACUGACACUGAGGCUCGAAAGUGUGGGUAUCAAACAGGAUUAGAUACCCGGGUAGUC